UCCCUACGGGGGGCAGCAGUGGGGAAUAUUGCACAAUGGGGGAAACCCUGAUGCAGCGACGCCGCGUGAGUGAAGAAGUAUUUCGGUACGUAAAGCUCUAUCAGCAGGGAAGAAAAAAAGUCCUUUGGACUUUGGACGGUACCUGACCAAGAAGCCCCGGCUAACUACGUGCCAGCAGCCGCGGUAAUACGUAGGGGGCGAGCGUUAUCCGGAUUCACUGGGUGUAAAGGGAGCGUAGACGGCCAAGCAAGCCAGGGGUGAAAGCCCGGGGCCCAACCCCGGGACUGCCCUUGGAACU
Molecule: ribosomal RNA, 298 nt
Filed under: uncultured bacterium
Lineage: Bacteria
Description: partial 16S ribosomal RNA
Rfam family: Bacterial small subunit ribosomal RNA
Source: RNAcentral